Long non-coding RNA from Momordica charantia (bitter melon), 536 nucleotides. RefSeq lists it as uncharacterized. The record is from RefSeq and is a predicted model, not a curated record. NCBI's taxonomy places the organism in Eukaryota, Viridiplantae, Streptophyta, Magnoliopsida, Cucurbitales, Cucurbitaceae.
UUCUUUUCUUCUUAUACGUGUGUUGGAGUUGGUGAAGUCAAAUCGACAUCGGAAUGAACUAGAGAUAAGUCGGUACGAGUCAGGGCAUCGAAGGAAAUGGAGGUUUGGACGGCUAUUUUGGCCGAGGCAGCAGUGCCACGGUGCUAACACAAAAACAAAGAAAAAAAAGAGGGGCAGCAUCGAGACGCUCCGAACAUAUAGGCGGAAAUCAUAGGCACGCGAGCUUGUUUCUUCAGCGUUGCAUGUCCAUAGCGUUGAGACGCGAUGCUACCUCGAUAUAUAGAUGACGACUUGGGGUUAUUGGCAGCAGAGGGGUGGAGCAAGAUCGACGUAUUUGGGUAAUUAAAUCUUGUUCUAUUUGUGAGUUUUUCAUUUAUGGACCUAAGUAUAUAGUGUUUAAAUACUUAGAAGUUAUGGGGUUUUUGUUGGGACCUCUAGAGAGUAUAUGUCUGAAACCCGCAUCUAAGUGGAAGACUGUAUGUAACCUAUAAACUAUUGCGGCGAAUCAGUAUAAAUUAUGUUUAUUGAUUUCUCUA